GUAGGGAGCAAGCGUUGUUCGGAAUUAUUGGGGCGUAAAGAGCGCGUAGGCGGCUAGGCAAGUCUGAUGUGAAAUCCCACAGCUCAACUGUGGAACUGCAUUGGAAACUGCUUAGCUGGAGUGCGGGAGAGGAGAGUGGAAUUCCCAGUGUAGAGGUGAAAUUCGUAGAUAUUGGGAGGAACACCGGUGGCGAAGGCGGCUCUCUGGACCGCAACUGACGCUGAGGCGCGAAAGCUAGGGGAGCGAACGGGAUUAGAUACCCCGGUAGUCCUAGCCGUAAACGAUGGGCACUAGGUGUGGGAGGUAUCGACCCCUUCUGUGCCGCAGCUAACGCAUUAAGUGCCCCGCCUGGGGAGUACGGUCGCAAAGACUA
This 373-nucleotide ribosomal RNA is filed under the name uncultured organism. RNAcentral's name for it is "partial 16S ribosomal RNA". It matches the Rfam family "Bacterial small subunit ribosomal RNA", at positions 527 to 896 of the family's 1533-position model. The record is from RNAcentral.